UAUCAUUUCCACUGGCAAACACUGGAGUACCGUUAGGACCACUUGCAGCUGCCCCUCCGUCGAUUCCUAGCCCGAGGGUUUUUCUGGAAGUGGCGAUCAAGCGCAACCUAAUCAUUCCCUCCCAGCCUCCGUCCCUCUCUGUACCCUCGCGUUACCUUCUAACAUUGGGUACACGCUCAAAAAAAGAACUGAGGCUGGAAAGACGCAGUCCAUGGCAGAGUUUCCCCUAAGAGAUGAAGAGUCCCUCGGCCUUACCGGCGCCGUCUGUGCCCCGCUAGCUCCACCCCAAAGCCCAAGGUCUCCCGCCAGCCGCUCAAGGCUGAGAGCGCACGUCUCCCUCCCGGGCAGGACGACGGAUCCUAAACGGAGCAUAGCCUCCCGUUGGAGCAGAGCAGGCGUCACGCCAAGAGUCUGCCUGGGAUCCAGAAGGCCCCUCACCUGUGACAUGUCACCAGUGCCACUUCCACAGUUCUUCUGAGUCACCUAAGUCACUGGCUCAGAGUCUUAACUCACCUCCAGAGUGCAAGCGCUGCGGAGGCAGGGACCAUGUCUGUCUCAUUCACCCUUCACAAGGCGCAUAGCAGAACCACCUGUUUUGGGCCUGACUUCCCAACUCCAGAAUUACAAUGGCUUCACACUAUGUUAGGGACUGAAGUGUCCACUGCUAAACACUUGAAGUGUGGUAAUAAAACUAAACCAGUUUCACAACAGUAAGUACAUACAUUCUGGCUAGACCAAGCUAUUAAAAUUUUGCUUGAAAUUCAUAUAACAGCUACAUAGGUCUGGUUGUCUGUUAGAGGAUUUUAUUGCAAAUUACUAAAUAGCGGGUAAUGAGUAAUUUUACCACAGGCUUUUACUAUUACAUUGCAGAAUCUCACAGUGGCAUGAAAUGACUAUGGCAGUCUAAAAAAAAGAGUUAUAUUUAAAUAGUCCAGGUUAUUUGUGAAAUCCUAUAAAACUAACCCUCAAUUCUCUUUUAUUUUACUCUUUAAAAGGUUUCAAGAAAUUAUCACCUAGCAUAUUUUGGUGAGAUAACAUAAGAGAUAUAAAAUCAGAGAACAGUAACUGUUUGCCAGCCUCAUACAUAUGCUAUAAAAAUCCUAAUGAUUUCAUCAGACAUCACUUGUUUAUUACCAAAUUCCUAAGGGGUCUUCUUAUGAUAUGAAAGUAAGAAAGAAAAAGAGGGAGGAAGAGAUCUUUUGAUCUUUCAGUAGUAUUUCCUAACUUCUCUGAUAUGUGGAUGAUUUUAACGUUAUUUUGUAUUUUCAAAUUUCCCAUGAUCCUGAUCUGAAAUGGACUGAAGCCAGAUUGAAAUUUGGGGGAAGACUACUAACAGGGGAACUAACCAUUAAACCACUACAACCACCAGGUGGUAGAGUUGAUAACCUGAAGGCUGCCAUCAUCCGCAUGUCAAUCACCGUGGUGCGGGGAGCCCCUCAGGCGAGGAAGCAGUGCCGAGUGGUAGGAUGGAUGGCGGAUUUAGGAAUGUAGCCUUCGAUUUAACUUGGAUCAGGAAGAAGGGGAGUUGUCUGCUUUGCUGCCCUGCGUCAAAGAAUAAUGUGGCACCUGCUCUGGAGUGGAAGGAGAGCAGAGGCUGGAGUGGUGGCAGCGCCGCUGAGGACAGAGACUGAGACAGCUGCGGGGUCAGAGGGGCCCAGAGGCGGAGACCGGCCUGCUGCAUGCAGACUCGCUCUGAGUGGACGGGAUUCUAGUGACUGACCUGCCACCAUGGGAAUAAAGUUGGGUAUAAACCCUUUCACCUCAAAAAGGUUCUCUUUUCAUUUUUUGGUCUUACUGGAUCAAGAGUGAAUUUGCCCAGGGCUGACACCCAUUGGCAAGACACACUUAAAGACUGGGUUUGAACAGUGGGUGAGGAAGGGCCUUUCCUUUCACCUCUGAACCUGAAAGAAGACUCUCCUCGGCUGGGGAGGGGAUGGGGGGAACUAAGGCAGGUUGGUGGCCACAUGGGCAUGAACACGGAAGUGUAGGUCCCAGAGCAGAGGACACUGGGCCCUGCUUCCCAGGAGAGUCUGAGAGGUGGAAGGCUCCAGGGAGGGGAGGGUCGUGUGGGGUGUGCUAGGCUGAAUAAUGCUGCCCCCUAAACACCCACUUCUAGUCCCAGAAGCUGUGCAUGACAAAAAGGGGACACUAUAGAUGGGAUUAAGCUAGGGAUCUUGAGAUGGGAAAGUAGCCUGGAGUGCCCAGGUGGGUGCCAUCACCCACAGGACUCCCACAGGUGGGAGGCAGGUGAGCAGAAUCAGUGAAGAUGUGAUGAUCUGACAAGUGCUGGCUUUGGACAUGGAGGGAAUAUCUGCGAGUUGAAAAAAGCAGAAGGUAGAAAAGCAAGUAAGUGGAUUGGUUCUCCACUAGAGCUUCCAGGAGGGACCAGCUGUGCUGACCCCUUGGUUUUACUUCGUAAGACCCACUUGGGAGUCCGACCUCCAGAACUCUUAGGAGAAUGUAUUUGUGUUGUUUGGAGUCUCUGAGUUUGUAAUGAUUUGUUACA
Long non-coding RNA from Manis pentadactyla (Chinese pangolin), 2506 nucleotides. RefSeq lists it as uncharacterized. The transcript has 5 exons. The record is from RefSeq and is a predicted model, not a curated record. Lineage: Eukaryota; Metazoa; Chordata; Mammalia; Pholidota; Manidae.